Molecule: ribosomal RNA, 461 nt
Filed under: uncultured beta proteobacterium
Lineage: Bacteria; Pseudomonadati; Pseudomonadota; Betaproteobacteria
Description: bacterial SSU rRNA
Rfam family: Bacterial small subunit ribosomal RNA
Source: RNAcentral
AGGAAAGCAGGGGAUCGCAAGACCUUGCGCUUUUGGAGCGGCCGAUGUCUGAUUAGCUAGUUGGUGAGGUAAAGGCUUACCAAGGCGUCGAUCAGUAGCUGGUCUGAGAGGACGACCAGCCACACUGGGACUGAGACACGGCCCAGACUCCUACGGGAGGCAGCAGUGGGGAAUUUUGGACAAUGGGGGAAACCCUGAUCCAGCCAUGCCGCGUGAGUGAAGAGGGCCUUCGGGUUGUAAAGCUCUUUCAGCCGGAACGAAACGGUCACAGCUAAUACCUGUGACUACUGACGGUACCGGAAGAAGAAGCACCGGCUAACUACGUGCCAGCAGCCGCGGUAAUACGUAGGGUGCGAGCGUUAAUCGGAAUUACUGGGCGUAAAGCGUGCGCAGGCGGUUUUGUAAGUCAGAUGUGAAAUCCCCGGGCUUAACCUGGGAACUGCGUUUGAAACUACAAGGCU